UAGGGAAUCUUGCGCAAUGGGCGAAAGCUUGACGGAGCAACGCCGCGUGAGUGAUGAAGGCCUUCGGAUCGUAAAACUCUUUUAUUAGGGAAGAACAUAUGUGUAAGUAACUAUGCACGUCUUGACGGUACCUAAUCAGAAAGCCACGGCUAACUACGUGCCAGCACCCGCGGCAACACGUAGGUGGCAAGCGUUAUCCUGAAUUAUUGGGCGUAAAGGGCGCGUAGGCGGUUUUUUAAGGCUGGUGUGAAAGCCCACGGCUCAACCGUGGAGGGUCAUUGGAAACUGGAAAACUUGAGGGCAGGAGAGGAACGUGGAAUUCCCGGGGUAGCGGUGAAAUGCGCAAAGAUAUGGAAGAACACCAGUGGCGAAGGCGACUUUCUGGUCUGAAACUGACGCUGAUGUGCGAAAGCGUGGGGAUCAAACAGG
This 429-nucleotide ribosomal RNA is filed under the name Actinomycetes bacterium. Its description in RNAcentral is "Actinobacteria bacterium partial 16S ribosomal RNA". It matches the Rfam family "Bacterial small subunit ribosomal RNA", at positions 355 to 776 of the family's 1533-position model. The record is from RNAcentral. Lineage: Bacteria; Bacillati; Actinomycetota; Actinomycetes.